This 627-nucleotide ribosomal RNA is filed under the name Bjerkandera adusta. RNAcentral describes it as "eukaryotic LSU rRNA". The stretch from base 220 to 373 matches the Rfam family "5.8S ribosomal RNA". The record is from RNAcentral. Lineage: Eukaryota; Fungi; Basidiomycota; Agaricomycetes; Polyporales; Phanerochaetaceae.
GCGUUGUGUGACUGCGGAGGAUCAUUAUCGAGUUUUGAAUGGGUUGUCUGCUGGCUCGCAAGGGCAUGUGCACGCCUGUCUCAUCCACUCUCAACUUCUGUGCACUUUUCAUAGGCCGGCUUGUGGGUGCGUUCGCGCACUUGUAGGUGUCGGGCUUAUGCUUUACUACAAACGAUUCAGUUUUAGAAUGUCAUACUUUGCUAUAACGCAAUUAUAUACAACUUUCAGCAACGGAUCUCUUGGCUCUCGCAUCGAUGAAGAACGCAGCGAAAUGCGAUAAGUAAUGUGAAUUGCAGAAUUCAGUGAAUCAUCGAAUCUUUGAACGCACCUUGCGCUCCUUGGUAUUCCGAGGAGCAUGCCUGUUUGAGUCUCAUGGAAUUCUCAACCUUCAGCUUUAUUGAUGAAGGCUUGGACUUGGAGGUCGUGCCGGCUCUCGUAGUCGGCUCCUCUGAAAUGCAUUAGUGCGAACGUUACCAGCCGCUUCAGCGUGAUAAUUAUCUGCGUUGCUGUGGAGGGUAUUCUAGUGUUCACGCUUCUAACCGUCUUCGGACAAAUUUCUGAACUCUGAGCUCAAAUCAGGUAGGACUACCCGCUGAACUUAAGCAUAUCUAAAACCGGAAAGAAAAU